AGUGGCGUACGGGUGAGUAACACGUGGAUCAUCUACCUUUUAGUGGGGAAUACCGUUGGGAAACCGACGACAAUACCGCAUAAUCUCGAGAGAGGAAAGCAGCAAUGCGCUGAAUGAGGAGUCCGCGGUCGAUUAGUUAGUUGGCAGGGUAAAAGCCUACCAAGACUGUGAUCGAUAGCCGGCCUGAGAGGGCACACGGCCACACUGGCACUGAAACACAGGCCAGACUCCUACGGGAGGCAGCAGUGGGGAAUCUUGCACAAUGGAGGAAACUCUGAUGCAGCGACGCCGCGUGAGCGAUGAAGCCCUUCGGGGUGUAAAGCUCUUUCGGCAGGGAAGAUUAUGACGGUACCUGCAGAAGCAGCUGCGGCUAACUACGUGCCAGCAGCCGCGGUAAUACGUAGGCAGCAAGCGUUGUUCGGAGUUACUGGGCGUAAAGGGUGCGUAGGCGGUCUUUUAAGUUUGGUGUGAAAUCUCCCGGCUCAACCGGGAGGGUGCGCCGAA
RNAcentral lists this ribosomal RNA (504 nucleotides) under uncultured bacterium. RNAcentral's name for it is "bacterial SSU rRNA". It matches the Rfam family "Bacterial small subunit ribosomal RNA", at positions 94 to 630 of the family's 1533-position model. The record is from RNAcentral.